UUUUGAGUAUUUUUUAGUAUUCUAUUUAAAUGUCUUUAUUUUGCUAGAUCUCUUUGUAUAAAGUUCUUAGCGGUUGCUGUAAGGAUUAAAAUGUACAUACUUGGCUUUUUAACGGUUUACUAGAAUCAAGAGGAUGUCGUGACUGAGUCAACGUGGAGAUGGGAAAAGGAAGGAGUCAAGUACGAUGCUGAAGCUUCUGUAUCAGGCUUUCUAUACGUUUCGAGUGAAAGAGCUCUGACUGGUGCAUAAGCAUCUGGCAAAUGAAGUGAGCAAAGAGCAUUCUGGGCAGAGGAAGUAGCAGAGCCAAAAGACUUAGAAGAUGGGAGGAGGUAUGAUGCCUUUUAGUUGCUGAAGGAAGACAACUGGCAAGGCGUUUGAGAGGAGAGAUGGGCAAAAUGGGGCUGUGGAAGAAAUCAGGUCCAGACCGUUAAGGUCUUUGUAGACCAUGGGGAACUGAAGCCAGAAAGAAGAAUGUGAUUUACUCAAGAGGAGUCACCUGAGACUCAGAGAGGUAAAGUAACUUGCCCAAAGCCACACAGCUAAGAGGAGCAGAACCAGGAAGAGAACUCAGGUCUGUCUGACUCCAGAGGAUGAACUUUUCCCGCUCCUCUGGACUGCUGUCCUUCACCUGCUCCAGCCACCACCCCCGGCUCCAGCCAGGCCUCAGUGCUGGCGAGGUGAGCCCCAGAAUGUGAAGAGGGAGAGCAAUACAGAGCGAUCCAAUGGGAACAACUAAGUUCUACAACCUGCUGGCCAUGCAGUGGCUGUGUGACCUUAGGACAGAAGCACCUCCUCUCUGGACUUCAGUUUCCUCAUCACUCAAAUGACGGUUUGGGUUCAGUCAUUUGACAGAUGCCUCCCACUCUGACUGUUUGGCCCACAGGGCAGGGGGCUUUGUAGGUGGCCCCCUGACCACUGGGGAGUGUUGACCUGGAAAUAGGGCUCUGUGUGGGGGCAGAAGAAGCAACUCAAUGUGUGUGUCCACUGGCCUUGGACACUCUUCUCUUUCCUUUCCAUAUGCAGUGGAUGUGCCUGUUUGCCCUCAGCACGUAUUCCCACCUCCUUCCCCCACUUCUGUCUCAUCUGCCUUCCUGGAC
Molecule: long non-coding RNA, 1097 nt
Filed under: Equus caballus (horse)
Lineage: Eukaryota; Metazoa; Chordata; Mammalia; Perissodactyla; Equidae
Description: lncRNA (ENSECAG00000057259.1)
Source: RNAcentral